AAGUCGUAACAAGGUUUCCGUAGGUGAACCUGCGGAAGGAUCAUUAACACGUAUCCAACGUUAAACCCCCCGUGCAUCUUUAGAGAGCUCUUGUAAGCCCAUUAUGAUAGCAAUCCUGGUAAAUCAGUGGCGAAAGUAGUCUUUGAUUCAGGACCUCUGUCUGGUGAGAACCUAGCGGUAAGCGAGCAAUUGAGCCUUUUAUCGUCAGUCUGGAGUCCUGGCCGGGCGAAUGAAAGUGUCGCUGGACGGUUUCUAGGGUAAGGCUUCGCCAUCACUGGAGGCUCAACACGGGCCGGUGGACAGACUGCAGGGUCCCCAUGCCCCUUUAUGACGACCAAGUUAAAUAAGGCAAGUGCGCCGUGGUAGAGGAAAACGUACAACUGUUAACAAUGGAUAUCUUGGUUCUC
Molecule: unclassified non-coding RNA, 407 nt
Filed under: fungal sp.
Lineage: Eukaryota; Fungi
Description: partial internal transcribed spacer region
Rfam family: Eukaryotic small subunit ribosomal RNA (bases 1-46)
Source: RNAcentral